UAAACCGCCACGAGUGUGUCCUCGAACUGAUCUCUGCGGCGUCGAGUUCGAUCGAUUCUGCGAACCUCUGCGCUUCGUCGGAGGAGAUUGGUGGAGGAAAGAAGAUCGGGAGCGGCGGCCAAGUGGAUCUCGAGGACAAGCGCAUGAAGUGCGCCUCCAAGCCUGACAAGCGCUUGGAUCUCAUGACGGAGGUCCUCCACCGCAUGAAGUGCGCCUCCAAGCCUGACAAGCGCCUCAUUCUCAUAGCUCGAUGAGAUGCUGGCAAAACAAGGUGUCAAAGUUGAUAAAGUGCUCAAUUUUGCAAUUGAUGAUGGCAGGACUUAUCACACCAAAUUUGCUCCUUCAAAGGUCCUGGAAUUGAUGAUGUGUCAGGAGAACCCUUGAUCCAAAGGAAGGAUGACACAGUUGAAAUGCUCAAGUCAAGGCUUGAAGCCUUCCACCGACAAACUGAACCUGUAUGAUAUUUCUUUAUACCUGUUCAUUGAUGUUUUUGUCUCUUGUAUUAUAAAUUUUUCAUUGUAAGGAAAAUUUGGAAUUUCUCA
This is a long non-coding RNA of Musa acuminata AAA Group (dessert banana), 542 nucleotides long. RefSeq lists it as uncharacterized. NCBI's taxonomy places the organism in Eukaryota, Viridiplantae, Streptophyta, Magnoliopsida, Zingiberales, Musaceae. The record is from RefSeq and is a predicted model, not a curated record. The transcript has 3 exons.